AGGUGCUUUGUAAAGCUGCUGCCAAUCAUGAUCUGACUGUCUUUUGCUCCCAAGCACUCGAGUUUUUCGCGUCCAAGCUUGUGAGCGUAACCAAAAAGAGGCAGACGGGUACUGGGGGAGGAGAUUACAUCUGUAUGUUGUUGUUUUUUUUUUCUCAAUCGUCCCACGCUUCAGACAGUCAGACUUCAUUAAAGGGGAGUUAGCUGCAGGCCAGGCGCAGACCUCACACAUCUCCUCUGACAACGACUCCGAACACGACCGAACAGACCCGGGAGGCAGCGGGCCGCUCAUCAAAGCAGAAAGGGUUCUGAAACAGCAGAGCAGAGCCACAUCGUCAGGACUUCAGCAAAACUCUCCUGCUCUGCUGGAUUCCACACCUGCUGUCAGGUUCAGCAGCUGCUGGAGUUUGAGCACAGUGUCCUGCUGCAGCCCGUCUGGUCUCCACCUGCAGGAAGAUGUUGGAAAGUUUCCCCUAAUCUGGUUGGUGCAUCUGAACACCAUUAUGCCGCCAUCUGCAUCACAAUGGCCUCCUAAUCCACAAGAAGCCUCCCGAAUUAACCGCAGACUGCAAAUCCUGGAUUUGACGGAUCUAUCCGGAUGAGGACUUUGCGUGCAUGACAUGUUUGUCCAGCAGCCUACAAAUCUACUUUAUAAAAAAGACACACCCAUGGUUGCAGACCAGUAUGCUCCACCAGAAUGCUCGCCACAAAGUCAUACAAUAAUUAUAAAAUUCAGAGGACGUAUUUUUACAAUUGUGCAUUAAAAUAAGUCCACAAGGAAAUUCAUGCGCUAAAUUGAUGUCAUUUUUCCACUUCCUGUCUCCAAAAAUGCUUCCUAAGAAAACCGAUCCCCUGAUUAUAUAGUCUUAUAUUUGUUUCAUUGCUAAAUGUCAGAAAGCAAGCUGUAAUUUUUGCUUUACUUGGCUUAAAUGUCAGCAAAAAGAGCUCGACUCUGCAUGUGUACAUGUGGUUCUGCGUUUGUCAGCAUAUGUACAGUCAUUUAAGGCUAAAAUAAAAAGUGAUUUAUUGUAAAUGGUCAUUAAUAUAAGGUGGCAGAAACAAAAGUCAGAUUUAAACAGAAAUGGGACCAG
Molecule: long non-coding RNA, 1090 nt
Filed under: Oryzias sinensis (Chinese medaka)
Lineage: Eukaryota; Metazoa; Chordata; Actinopteri; Beloniformes; Adrianichthyidae
Description: lncRNA (ENSOSIG00000004927.1)
Source: RNAcentral